CCAAACUUGGUCAUUUAGAGGAAGUAAAAGUCGUAACAAGGUAACCGUAGGUGAACCUGCGGUUGGAUCAUUAAAAAAUCUAAACCUUUGUUAGAGAGUUUAUACUCUCUAUCAAACACUUUGUGAACUUUUAAUUGUUGAAUUGAUUAGGUCUCGGUCUAGUCAGUUCUCAUAUGAACAUUAUAUUUAAUUUAGUUGGCCAAUUUAAUAACUUAAUUAAAAACAACUUUUGACAACGGAUCUCUUGGCUCUCGCAUCGAUGAAGAACGCAGC
Molecule: unclassified non-coding RNA, 273 nt
Filed under: uncultured fungus
Lineage: Eukaryota; Fungi
Description: partial contains small subunit ribosomal RNA, internal transcribed spacer 1, and 5.8S ribosomal RNA
Rfam family: Eukaryotic small subunit ribosomal RNA (bases 1-73)
Source: RNAcentral